GGCGCUGGGUGGGGCUCCUGGUGGAGGCCUUGCUGCUGGUCAGGUCGGAGGCUGUGGAGCGGGGACCACUGACCGUGUCUGUGAGGUCUCCAUCUGGGAGGACAAGGAAGCAGGAGACACCCUGUCAGGCACCCCCCGGGGUCCCCGACCCCCAGAGCAUGCGUUAGCCCAGGAGGGAGGCAGGCUGGCCAGUUCCUCCCAGGGAAACCUGACAGGGGUGGCCCCAUUUCGAGUAGAAGCCACAACCUAACAGGACAUGGGGUUUUGUACUUUAGGAGCAACUUGGAAGGAACACCAUCUCCACCACCCCUGGGGCCUCCGGAGCUCACAACAAUUUGGCUGAGUUUGUGUUAAGGGCCCCCGCGGUGAAGCAGCCUCCAGGCUCAAGCUCCAGGCUUAAGUCCCAUAGGAAUGGUGACUUCGAGGCCUCCAUGGGUGGCUGGGAGCCCUAGAGAGGAGCCAGGCUGCACGCCUCUUAGGUUACCCUCAGAGCCUUCCUGCCAGGACGCUACAGGGGUACCCAGCAGCCCCGUUAGCCCCAUACCCCACUUGUAGGGCUGAGAGGUGCCCAAAGUCCUCUGAAGGGUCCCUUGCAGAGGUAAAAGGAACACAAAGGGAGAAGAAUGGAGGAAGACAGCAGAGAAAGUGAGGGGUGCAGAGUGGGGGCAGAGGCUAGGAGACAGGAUGGGAGCCCAAGGGGUGGGAACCAUGGGGCAGAGGGAAAUGCCCAGAGCACAGAGUAGAGACAAGAUGACAGAGCAGGGCAAUGAGAGCAAGGUGCGAAGGGGCAAAGACAGGGGUCCGAGAGGCCGCCCCCCAGGCUGCUUCUCCCCAGCACCCCUGACCCUACACACUCCUCGGGGGCAGGACCAGGUGCCCCUGCAAGGGUGGUGCUGAGAACUCCAUUUCUUUCUUUUUUUUUUUUUUUGAGACGGAGUCUCUCUCUGUCGCCAGGCUGAAGCGCAGUGGCGCGAGCCCGGCUCACUACAACCUCCAACUCCCGGGUUCAAGUGAUUCUCCUGCCUUAGCCUCCCGAGUAGCUAGGAUUACAGGCAUGCGCCACCAUGCCCAGCUAAUUUUUGUAUUUUUAGUAGAGCUGGGGUUUCACCAUGUUGGCCAGGAUGGUCUCGAUCUCCUGACCUCGUGAUCUGCCCGCCUCGGCCUCCCAAAAUGCUGGGAUUACAGGCGUGAGCCACCGUGCCCGGCCGAGAACUCCAUUUCAUUCAAGUGUCAGCUCACUGACUGGUCCUUUCUGACUCAUACCCUGACACGGCCCCCGAGAGGGGAGCUGGCUUGGACAUCCCGCCCCACCCAGCCAUCUGCCCCUGGUUACUGGAACAGGGCAGGAGAGGGAGCACGGGCAGGUGAAGCACACAGCCCAUACGGCCAGUGGCAGAUGGGAGCCACCCAAGCAGAGAGCUGAGGCCCAGCUGGUGAAACUGCCUGGGUGAGGGUCAAUGGCAAGGGCCAUGGCUGGUCGUGCUCUAUUUGCCGGCCAAUGCUCAUCUUGCUGGCCGCUGUCUGCCCGGAAGAAAAGAGGCAAACAUGCACCCCACAGCCCCACUGGGGGCCCAACCAGCUGUCAACUUAGUGCCCUUGGAAGCCACAGGGCAGCUGUCUGCUGAUGCAGCACACCGUCCUUUUUUUUUUUUUUUUUUUUUUUUUGAGACAGGGUCUCGCUGUGUCGCUCGGACUGGAGCGCAGUGGCGCAAUCACAGCUCACUGUAGCCUCGACCUCCUGGGUUCAAGUGAUCCUCCUGCCCUGCCUCAGCCCACAGAGUAGCUGGGACUAUAGGCGUGCACCACCAAGCCUGGCUAAUUUUUAUAUUUUUAGUAGAGACGGGGUCCCCCUGUGUUGCCCAGGUUGGUCUCAAACUCCUGGGCUCAGGCGAUCCUCCAGCCUCAGCCUCUCAAAGUGCUGGGAUUACAGGUGUGAGCCUGGCCCUUUUUUUUUUUUUUUAAGUCUGCUGUCUUUUAAUAUAAGGACAAAAGAGGAGGCUAAAGGCAAUGAGUAGCUCUGCCAGAAAAGACCAGCAACAUCGGGGACUUUUUCCAGAUUUCCGGGGAUCUCAGAGCCUAAGUUCUAAGAUACAGAAAACCGCGUCUCUCGGUCCCAAAGCAGGCUCCUGCCAAGCCCAUGUGUUCUUGCUCCGGCUCCUGUGAUUCUCCUCAGCACACGCAGUUGCACCCAAGAGGAGCCCUGAGAGGUGAGUGGGCAGAUCAUGAGAUGUGGUGGGUGUCAAGGCCCGCAUGCCCACCAGCUCUGUAAAUAAGCCAAAGACCAGGGGAAGGCCACCCCAGGCUCAGAGUUUGGAGCUGCCCCAAGUCCUGCCUUCCUCCAGGUCCAAGGAGAAGACAGAGCCUCCCCGGGUGAGCUGCCAGAGUGAGCUCAGGAAUCCUGCUCCAGGAACUCCAGAAAUCUCACCCUGCCCUGAGGCAAGCAGUGCAACUGGGCUGUUAGUUCUCAGGCCGCAGGGAGCUCUGAAAGGCUGUAGAGGAAGGUCAGGCCCUGCUUGUCAAGUGACUGCAGCAGGCGUGUCAGGAGGGGGGUUAGUUGUUAGAAUCGGAGGGAAAAAAAAACAAUAUCCAGCAUGUGUGCUGCAAGAAGAGGGGCUAAGAGGGUACAUGAUGUUAUGAUGGAAUUCUGGAAUCCAAGCUAAUUUAACUCAAACAGGGGACCCUUCAAUGCUACUCUUGGCCAAGUGUCAUAGUUUAUUUUUCCCAAUGCCACAUCUUAUUUCUCACAGAGUUAAGGUAUUUCAUACUCACAUUAUCUGGGAACGGAUCACCUGUCACCCAUUACUCAGCAAUCACGUCUCUAAUAAUGCGGGGAGAGCCACGUGCCCCUCAUCCUCAGGGUGUGGCAGUUCUCACCUCCCCUGUUCAGAGGCCAGGUUCCCUCACCUCCCCUGUUCCAGGCUGGAAGUGGCCCAGAGGGUAGGAGGCUCUUUAAUAACAGGGAUUUGGACCAGGUGCAGUGGUUCAUGCCUGUAAUCCCACACUUUGAGAGGAUGAGGUGGGGUGGAUCACCUGAGGUCAGGAGUUUGAGACCAGCCUGGCCAACAUGGUGAAACCCUGUCUCUACUAAAAAUACAAAAAUUAGCCGGGCGUGGUGGCACACACCUGUAAUCCCAGCUACUUGGGAGGCUGAGGCAGGAGAAUUGCUUGAACCCGGGAGGUGGAGGUUACAGUAAGCCAAGAUCACACCACUGCACUCCAGCCUGAGCAACAGAGCGAGACUCCGUCUCAAAAAGUAAAAUAAAAUAACAUAAAGUAAAAUAACAGGGAUCUGCUAUGGCCUCAGAUUUAAGGGGGAAACAUUCACCUUAUUGGCAACAUAGCCUUUGCUUUGAGUAAUCGUGGCAACCUGGGAAUAGCUUUGUGAAUUUAUGAAGUGGAAUUUCAGGCAGAAAAAUGCCCAGGCACUGCUACUGCCCAGCAGACAGGGUGGGAGGGCUGGCAGAUUUCCUUUUAAUCUGCUUUAAAGCUUCAAAGAGAUUCUGUCUGUAGGAAGUUUCAGCUGUACCUGGGCAGUUUCCUGACUUGGACCUCAACCACUCCAAAACACCCAAGAGGAAGCCAUUAGGAACAGACUGAAAGAAUCAAGCUCUUUCUCUUCGAUGCUCAUCUGACCCGCAGGAGCUUACAACCCGCAUGUUUAAAGGCAUGGUUUUCCAGAACAAGUCUUGGUUCACUGGGUCAGGCCCUACACACCCCGAGAGCAUCAGCUGGCACUGGAAUCAGGAAGGGUGACCCUGUAUCCCCCGAAAUGCAGCCACUUAGUGACUCCGAAAGGCCACUGAGCAAAGGCAGGAGCCCUGCACUGGGAGAAGGGAUUUGCCUAUGGCUAGAGGUUGAGUUUUCCCACUGCAGAAUUCCAUCUAUUAGAACACCAAACUUGGCUUUAUUAUGAUUAUGGAUAUUAUUAUAAAUAAUAAGGAGCUGAUUUGAUACAUGCAGCAAGCUUGGCAUGGAAACAUUGCAAAACAGGAAAAGAGGGUAACAGCGGACUCUGGCCCACCUUCCCAGUCUGUGCUGGGUACAGACGGCACUGCUGGAAACACAUCUCCAAAAUCAUAAUCUACAAAAACGAGGGACAAAACUGAAGAUUAGAAACACAGGCAGUGGAAGGAUGACUGGAGGGAGGGGAGGGGAAAUGGGGUGGGAGACAUGGGGAGAAAAUAGGAGAGGAAAACUUCAACUUUCUACAUUGUAUCCAACAACCUUGGGGAAACUUACUAGGGCCCUGACUGCCUCUCAGCUCAGGCGCUGGCCCAGGAGCCUCCAACCAGCUGGAAAGACCUGUCAGGGUGACCCCUUUCCACAUCCAGAAGCUGGUUCUGGCAGAGAGAAGCCUGGCUGCCUGUGCCUAGCUUUGUUUUCUACCUCUUACGUGCCUUCCCUCCAUACCCUAGCAGGGCAAGGAGACACUGCCCUGGCAGCUGCAGUUGCACAAUCUCCAAAUUGCUGAGGGGACACCUCCAUCCAUGGAUCCAUCCUUGCCCUGGCUCUUCCGGCAAGGCCCACCCCUCCAACUCCUCUAAGGUGGCCCAUGGGCCCAACCUAAGGAGACUGUGCCGCCUUCUUCAGCUUGCACGGUCAGCAAUGCAGGUCUUGCUAACAGCAAGUUUGAGAGGGACCUCCCUUCCUGGGACAUAUAACCCGUGGUACAGCAGAAAUAAAGAAAGGGGAAGGUCAAGGUCUCAAUGCUGAGGCAAUUCUAGGGUGCCCCAGGGCUAAAUUGGGGCUGGGAUCCCCUUCCCUGGAGGUGAGGUGGUGGGGUGAAGUAAAUGAAGGGCUCUGGUCUCCUACAGGAGAUAAAGAGGGGAAAAUGGCCAGUUUUAUCCAUGAACACCAGGGCCUAAGGUUUGAAAGAAACCAGGCUGUUCCAGUAAAUCAUUGGGUCAAGACAACAAAAUGACCUGCAGCUUCUUCCUCGGUCCCUGAUGCAAAGGGUGCGACCAUCCCAAACACAUCAGCGAGCGCAGAAGGAACUCAGAGAAAUCGGACGGACACACAGGACACAGUGGCAAGGUUUCCCUGCGCUUCAGACCUGCCUGGUUCUCUCUUCUUCUAGGGGUUGCUUAACCUCCUUCUGCAAAGAAUGUGGGGUCAGACAAGCUCCCCAGAACAGGCAACACUCAACCCUGCGACAAGGUUUCCAGGUCCCACUGCUAAACCUUCCUUGCUUAGAAAACUGCCACAGGCAUGUGACUAGAACCUUCUGGAAAAGGGUCUAACCUUAAAAAAUAUAUAUUUUAUAUAUAUAUAUAUAUAUAUAAUUUCAGCUUUUUGUGCCCAGAAUCCACUUUUUAGCCACCACAGGGACUCUGAGGAGAUGAAGAUCUGGGAAAUGGCCAGCCCUGUUUAAUUGCAAAUUUCAGCCACCAGACCAAAACUAGCCAAGGAAGACAUCACCCAGCCAGGCUUAAGCAGUUCAAGUCUGUUUCACAACAGGGGCUUAGCUUUUCUGCCCUGGGGCCACUCACCCUCACUAGAUGGGGCAAUCGCACUGUCAUCCCACUCCAGGUUGGUGGAGGUGACGGAGUUGAAAGAGUUGAGGGACAGACUGUCUGAGCCGUGGACCGAGCUGGGAAGGCGGUCUUCAAAGUCCAGCAGGUACUGAGGUUUGUAGUAGUCGGGCAUGUAGGGGGCCAGGUCUAGGUAAGGGGCAUCCUGAGGAGAGAGUAGAGGAGGCCCGUUUGGUGGGAGGCCUCGUGCAGCGGCCUUCUGCAGACAGCAGGAUCCAGGCCUGGGAGACACAGAUGUGCCUCUUUGGGAAAUCAAUGGCUUAAGGUAGUAAAUUCAAAGAAAAGCUGCUAAGAAGAGCAAUGUGAAUAGUGUUGGCUUUUAAAGCUGUGGACUUCAGGCUGAUGGAAGACAGAGCUGUCAGAACUCAGCUACACCCUUUGAUGCCCCCGCUAUCUCUCUCUCUCUCUAUUUAUUUAUUUUUUUUUUUGAGACAGAGUCUCACUCUGUUGCCCUGGCUGGAGUGCAAUGACGUGGCUCGGCUCACUGCAACUUCCACCUCCCGGGUUCGAGCGAUUCUCCUGCCUCAGCCUCCCAAGUAGCUGAGAUUAUAGGCGCCCAUCACCACACCCCGCUAACUUUUGUAUUUUUUUAGUAGAGACGAGGUUUCGCCAUGUUGGCCAGGCUGGUCUCGAACUCCUGACCUCAGGUGAUCCACCCACCUCAGCCUCCCAAAGUGCUGGGAUUAUAGGUGUGAGCCACUGCGCCUGGCCCAAGGAAGGUCAUUUGAUUAGGACGGGGCAGCUGCAUCCAUUUUGAGCCCAGUCCAAGAGGUGCCUGGGAGCCUCUUUGGCUCUAUGUGGGCCAGCAUCCCAUUUGUACAGGGUGUGAUGGGGAGAGAAACUUGAGAACUUGAAGAGGGUGGCUGAAGGCUCUUCAUGGAGCUGAUGACACUUUUCAGAACCCCAGAAGCACCAGGCUGAAACUGCCUUGUCCUUCUAACUCUUCACAUCCUAAACAUGAAGGCCAGUUCUUCUGGGCUAAGAUACUCCAGGCAAUGUGGCUUUUCUCCAAGUUGGAUAGGGAGAUAGGAAAAAGUCACCUGAACCAGGAAUUCUUGCCAUCACUUCUCUUCUCACUCAAUUCGAUGGACCCUGAAACCUUUCCCUCGCCCAAAAAAACAAGUUUUGCUCAAGCCCAGUCAUACUCAACAAGCUCCCUCAACAAGACCUGAG
Molecule: long non-coding RNA, 6704 nt
Filed under: Homo sapiens (human)
Lineage: Eukaryota; Metazoa; Chordata; Mammalia; Primates; Hominidae
Description: HSALNT0290422
Source: RNAcentral